Molecule: unclassified non-coding RNA, 650 nt
Filed under: Hevea brasiliensis (rubber tree)
Lineage: Eukaryota; Viridiplantae; Streptophyta; Magnoliopsida; Malpighiales; Euphorbiaceae
Source: RNAcentral
GUGGGAUGGGAAUGAAAGUGAUAAAAGAAGAAAACGGUCCACGUGCACUGAUAUUUUCACUUACCAUGAAAGACCAAGCAGUUGGUCAAUCUCUCCACAUUCCAGUGGGACUCACUCCUCUUCCCAUUUCCAUUUUCUUUCUCUGUUGCUUUAUUCCCAUGACAAUUUUUUACCCAUGCCAUGUAGGAUCAAAUUAAUUUCUCAUGAAAAUAUUAUUUUACAUUAAUCAAUGCAAGACUUGAUUUUAAUUUCGAUUUCAUUUUUCUUCUAAUUAAAGUUGAGUUUAAUCUAAAUUCGAUCUGAUUCAAAUAUAAUUAGAUGGAUUCGAUUUCAAUUUGAAGCUAAUGGGGUAAGGUGUGCUGGGGAAAAGUAAAACGGUGGGCGUGCAGCUGGAGUGCAUGGUUUGUGACGAGAAAUAUGUGCGUGUCCUUUUGUGCGUGUAAAAGCCCCCACCGCAAGAUCGAUUCAUUAAAAAAGAUGACUUGUCAGUGUCACUAACAAUAAAAAUGUUGGGUUUGCAAAAGCUAUACCCCACAUUUCUAGCACCGGAAAACAAUGACAUUGCACCCGCCACCUUCUCUCUACCCAACUGCUAUAUACACUUCCAGAGUGUAGAGCAAGUCUCCUUCAUUGCAAAUAUUACCUUCUAA